RNAcentral lists this ribosomal RNA (497 nucleotides) under uncultured bacterium. RNAcentral's name for it is "partial 16S ribosomal RNA". It matches the Rfam family "Bacterial small subunit ribosomal RNA", at positions 28 to 507 of the family's 1533-position model. The record is from RNAcentral.
GAUGAACGCUGGCGGCGUGCCUAAUACAUGCAAGUCGAGCGGACAGACGAGGAGCUUGCUCCUCUGACGUUAGCGACGGACGGGUGAGUAACACGUGAAUAACCUUCCUCUAAGACUUGGAUCACUUCGGCAAACCGGAGCUCAUAACGGAUAAUAUAUUGAACCGCAUGGUUCAAUAGUGUAAUCGGGUUAUGAUGUGACUGAUACAUGUAUCCUCGCCGCAUUAGUAAGUUGGUAAGGUAACGGCUUAGCAAGGCGGCGAUGCGUAGCCGACCUGAGAGGGUGAUCGGCCACACUGGAGCUGAGACACGGUGCAGAAUCCGACGGGAGGCAGCGGUAGGGAAUCUUCCGCAAGGAGCGGAAGCCUGAAGGAGAAACGCCGCGUGAGUGAGGAAGGUCUUCGGCUCGUAAAACUCUGUUAUUAUGGAAGAACAAAUGUGUAAGUAACGAUGCACGUCUUGACGGUACCUAAUCAGAAAGCCACGGCUAACUACGUG